This is a non-coding RNA of Lolium perenne, 1639 nucleotides long. The record is from RefSeq and is a predicted model, not a curated record. NCBI's taxonomy places the organism in Eukaryota, Viridiplantae, Streptophyta, Magnoliopsida, Poales, Poaceae.
UACAUUGUUACAUAGUCCUGCUAUUUUAACUGUUUGGAUUCGCUUCUACUAUUUUUCAUUUUGUUGCAAUUGUAAGUAUUCACAUGUAUAUUUUCAUCUUCUGGCUGCAAAAGCUGAUGUACAUGACGCUCUUGAAAUUAUUUCUGCGUGUGAUAUUUACUGAUUUAUCAUGUUUCUCUUAUAGCACCUUGGUUGGGUGGUGAGGUUGAGAUGUCGCGCGGCAGAGUAGCCAACCAAGGCCUAUUAUUUUUGCAGUCCUAUUGAGGUUCUUCUCUGAGUAUUUCUUGUGUCUGCCGACAGGUUCAGACUUUCCAGUCAAGGAAUUUAUGCAUUUUCUUCAUGCAACAUACAUCCUGUGGUGUAACACACUCAUAUCUUGCAAGCUUUCUUCGAUCUAGAGAAUGGCAACCAGGAGCUCAAGAGCGACCUAAGGACCUCUACAUCAACACCGCGAUCCAGUUGGAUAUCGUCGGGAACAGGAAGGCCGUGGAACCACGUGCCAUGUCGCCUACACCUAACAUGCUAGGCUCGUCAGGGAGCUCGAGAAGAAGUACAGCGGCAAGACUUUAAUUGAGCAGAAAGCUCUUGGUGGUGGCUUUGGGGGAAUAUUUACCAUCUUCAUUCAUCUAAACAGUUAAGCUCUUGUGCUCUCUAAAUUUUGUCAAUUAGUAUCUGACAUAUCUUUAUGAUGGUCAUAUGCAGUAGUAUACGUAUGUAACACCUCUAUCGUUUAUUGAGGAGGUUCUUAGACCACUAAAUAUGUCAGCAUCAAGUGGGAAGUGGAUCGAUGGGCUCCAGUUCUCAUCUCUGUUCUGCCCUGGCACAUGAUGUGCAACAGAAACAGAACAGGCACAAACUUUGGUCUAUGUUGAGUGCUUUGGUCAGCUUACGUACGUGUGACAGCGAGCAAUUUCAGAAGGAUGUAGCUCAGCUCAUUUAGAGUUGAUAUCCAUCAAACGAAAAACGUUUGGUAGCUGAAGUAUCAAGUAAAAUAUGACUUCUGUGUGCAACAACUUUUAUUCUUCCUCACCCCAGAAUGACCAUGUUGUUGUACUCCAAUUCAUUCACGCGUCAUAGAUGGGAUACACUGAGUUCUGAAGAAGUACUCACAGAAGUAAGCCUUGCCCUGUUGAGAAAUUGUUAAGAGUUUUACCUCACCACAAUAGGCCAAUCUUCAAAGUUGCAGAAUUGAGCCCCUCACAAAUGUAUUUUUUCCUUCACAUCUUCCAGCAGAAAGAGACCCGUCUUGGGCUCUGCUCCGAGAUCGCCUCCGCAAUGCUGAGCCACGACCGUAGGCUUGCAGUGGUGGGGUUCGUUGUGGUCGGUCUGACCCUGGCAAGGUGUCAACACUGACGAUCUCGACAUCUCUGUACAAGCCUGAGGUAAACGAGGCAUCCCUGCUCUCAGGCUGGCCUACAACCUCACGUGAUGUAGGGUCUGCUCCUCUCAAAGGUGUCAUGUUAUUUCAUGAAAUAAUUUGUCUUGGGCUAAUGGUUCACUUCAGUUUUGAUCUCUUUCUAUUUCGUAGAAUAUCUUAGGCUAACGCCUUGGUGGAGACUGAUGUAGCCUGCUAUGUGGAUUCUGAAAUAGAUUUAUACAUGAAUGCUAAAGCUCCAUGGUGAAUCAUGGUUUUGUCUUU